GGUAACGAACGCAACCCUCGUUGCCUGUUAUAUUUGUCAGGCGAGACUGCCCCCUCACGGGGGAGGAAGGUGAGGAUGACGCCAAGUCAGCAUGUCCCUUUGACAUCCCGGGCUGCACACACGCUACAAUGGCUAUUACAGAGGGGCGCAAAAGCGCAAGCUCAAGCAAAUCCCCAAAGAUAGCCCAAGUUCGGAUUGAGGUCUGCAACUCGACCUCAUGAAGUCGGAAUCGCUAGUAAUCGUGAAUCAGAACGUCACGGUGAAUACGUUCUCGAGCCUUGUACUCACCGCCCGUCAAUACAAGGGAGCUGGGAGUACCCUAAGCCCGUGUUUAUCACGGACUACGGUAAAUUCAGUGACAAGGUAUAAGUCGUAACAAGGUAACC
This 386-nucleotide ribosomal RNA is filed under the name uncultured bacterium. RNAcentral's name for it is "bacterial SSU rRNA". It matches the Rfam family "Bacterial small subunit ribosomal RNA", at positions 1088 to 1501 of the family's 1533-position model. The record is from RNAcentral.